This 814-nucleotide ribosomal RNA is filed under the name uncultured bacterium. RNAcentral's name for it is "bacterial SSU rRNA". It matches the Rfam family "Bacterial small subunit ribosomal RNA", at positions 80 to 896 of the family's 1533-position model. The record is from RNAcentral.
UGNUUCUGCUGACNACCGGNGCACGGGUGCGUAACGCGUAUGCNACCUACCUCNUACAGGAGAAUANCCCUUGGAAACGAGGAUUANUACUCCAUGGUAUCAUUCUUUCGCAUGUUAGAAUGAUUAAAGAAUUUCGGUAUGANAUGGGCAUGCGUCCCAUUAGCUAGUUGGUGAGGUAACGGCUCACCAAGGCGACNAUGGGUAGGGGGCCUGAGAGGGUGGUCCCCCACACUGGUACUGAGACACGGACCAGACUCCUACGGGAGGCAGCAGUGAGGAACAUUGGUCAAUGGAGGCAACUCUGAACCAGCCAUGCCGCGUGAAGGAUGACGGCCCUAUGGGUUGUAAACUUCUUUUAUAUGGGAAGAAACUUAUCUACGUGUAGAUAACUGACGGUACCAUACGAAUAAGGAUCGGCUAACUCCGUGCCAGCAGCCGCGGUAAUACGGAGGAUCCAAGCGUUAUCCGGAUUCAUUGGGUUUAAAGGGUCCGUAGGCGGAUUUUUAAGUCAGUGGUGAAAGCCGACAGCUCAACUGUCGAACUGCCAUUGAUACUGGAAAUCUUGAGUACAAAUGAAGUAGGCGGAAUGAGUCAUGUAGCGGUGAAAUGCAUAGAUAUGACUCAGAACACCGAUUGCGAAGGCAGCUUACUAACNUGUAACUGACGCUGAGGGACGAAAGCGUGGGGAGCGAACAGGAUUAGAUACCCUGGUAGUCCACGCCGUAAACGAUCAUCACUCGCUGUUGGCGAUAUACUGUCAGCGGCCAAGCGAAAGUAUUAAGUGAUGCACCUGGGGAGUACGCCGGCAACGGUG